UUGCAUUUGACUAGCGUGUAUGGUGAGCGUGCGCUUCUUGGCCACGUGAUGAUCCACGUCAAUUAAUGAAAGAUCAUCAAACGGUCCACGCUUUUUCUCUUUUUUCUAAUUUCUGAUUUUAUUUCUUUUAUUUCUUUUAAUUCCAUUUCUUUUUAAAAAUUCAUCUCUCUCUCAUUAUUGGUCCAAAAAAUAUGAGACCAAUUUCAUUUUUCUCCUUUUAAUUUCUACUUUCUAAAAAUGAUUUUUAAUAUUUUUUAUUUUAUCAUUUGCUAUUUUUUAGUAAUUUUCUCUUUUCUGCUUAUUUUUAAUUCAUUUAAAAUAGUUUUUGAUAUCCAAA
Molecule: long non-coding RNA, 337 nt
Filed under: Lathyrus oleraceus (garden pea)
Lineage: Eukaryota; Viridiplantae; Streptophyta; Magnoliopsida; Fabales; Fabaceae
Description: Pisum sativum (pea) long non-coding RNA (PSAT_LNC027339)
Source: RNAcentral